GACGAACGCUGGCGGCGCGCUUAACACAUGCAAGUCGAGCGAUGAAACUUUAACAGAACCCUUCGGGGCGGAGAUAAGGUGGAUUAGCGGCGGACGGGUUAGUAACACGUGAGUAACAUGCCUUAGACAUUGGGAUAGCUUCGGCAAACCGGGAUUAAGACCAAAUAAAAUCAUAAUGACACAUGUCAUAACGGUCAAAACUCCGGUGGUCUAAGAUGGACUUGCGUCCCAUUAGCUAGUUGGUAGAGUAAAAGCCUACCAAGGCGAGGAUGGGUAGCCGGGAUGAGAGACAGGACCGACACACUGGAACUGAGCAGCAGUCCAAAAUAUUACGCGAGGCAGGAGAGGGGGAUACUGCCCAAUCGCGGGAGCUAUGAUGCAGUGCGGCCGGGUGAACGAAGAAGGCUGGGGAGAAGUACAGUUCUUUUAUAUCGGAAUAUAAUGACGGUACCAAAAGAAAAAGCACCGGCUAACUACGUG
RNAcentral lists this ribosomal RNA (480 nucleotides) under uncultured bacterium. Its description in RNAcentral is "partial 16S ribosomal RNA". It matches the Rfam family "Bacterial small subunit ribosomal RNA", at positions 28 to 507 of the family's 1533-position model. The record is from RNAcentral.